RNAcentral lists this ribosomal RNA (253 nucleotides) under uncultured bacterium. Its description in RNAcentral is "partial 16S ribosomal RNA". It matches the Rfam family "Bacterial small subunit ribosomal RNA", at positions 524 to 776 of the family's 1533-position model. The record is from RNAcentral.
UACAGAGGUCUCAAGCGUUGUUCGGAUUCAUUGGGCGUAAAGGGCGCGUAGGCGGCGGGGUAAGUCUGGUGUGAAAUCUCGGAGCUCAACUCCGAAAUUGCACUGGAUACUGCUCUGCUUGGGGGUUGGAGAGGAGAUCGGAAUUCACGGUGUAGCAGUGAAAUGCGUAGAUAUCGUGAGGAAGACCAGUGGCGAAGGCGGAUCUCUGGACAAAUCCUGACGCUGAGGCGCGAAGGCUAGGGGAGCAAACGGG